Molecule: ribosomal RNA, 2343 nt
Filed under: Escherichia coli
Lineage: Bacteria; Pseudomonadati; Pseudomonadota; Gammaproteobacteria; Enterobacterales; Enterobacteriaceae
Description: partial 23S ribosomal RNA
Rfam family: Bacterial large subunit ribosomal RNA
Source: RNAcentral
AAUGGGUCAGCGACUUAUAUUCUGUAGCAAGGUUAACCGAAUAGGGGAGCCGAAGGGAAACCGAGUCUUAACUGGGCGUUAAGUUGCAGGGUAUAGACCCGAAACCCGGUGAUCUAGCCAUGGGCAGGUUGAAGGUUGGGUAACACUAACUGGAGGACCGAACCGACUAAUGUUGAAAAAUUAGCGGAUGACUUGUGGCUGGGGGUGAAAGGCCAAUCAAACCGGGAGAUAGCUGGUUCUCCCCGAAAGCUAUUUAGGUAGCGCCUCGUGAAUUCAUCUCCGGGGGUAGAGCACUGUUUCGGCAAGGGGGUCAUCCCGACUUACCAACCCGAUGCAAACUGCGAAUACCGGAGAAUGUUAUCACGGGAGACACACGGCGGGUGCUAACGUCCGUCGUGAAGAGGGAAACAACCCAGACCGCCAGCUAAGGUCCCAAAGUCAUGGUUAAGUGGGAAACGAUGUGGGAAGGCCCAGACAGCCAGGAUGUUGGCUUAGAAGCAGCCAUCAUUUAAAGAAAGCGUAAUAGCUCACUGGUCGAGUCGGCCUGCGCGGAAGAUGUAACGGGGCUAAACCAUGCACCGAAGCUGCGGCAGCGACGCUUAUGCGUUGUUGGGUAGGGGAGCGUUCUGUAAGCCUGUGAAGGUGUGCUGUGAGGCAUGCUGGAGGUAUCAGAAGUGCGAAUGCUGACAUAAGUAACGAUAAAGCGGGUGAAAAGCCCGCUCGCCGGAAGACCAAGGGUUCCUGUCCAACGUUAAUCGGGGCAGGGUGAGUCGACCCCUAAGGCGAGGCCGAAAGGCGUAGUCGAUGGGAAACAGGUUAAUAUUCCUGUACUUGGUGUUACUGCGAAGGGGGGACGGAGAAGGCUAUGUUGGCCGGGCGACGGUUGUCCCGGUUUAAGCGUGUAGGCUGGUUUUCCAGGCAAAUCCGGAAAAUCAAGGCUGAGGCGUGAUGACGAGGCACUACGGUGCUGAAGCAACAAAUGCCCUGCUUCCAGGAAAAGCCUCUAAGCAUCAGGUAACAUCAAAUCGUACCCCAAACCGACACAGGUGGUCAGGUAGAGAAUACCAAGGCGCUUGAGAGAACUCGGGUGAAGGAACUAGGCAAAAUGGUGCCGUAACUUCGGGAGAAGGCACGCUGAUAUGUAGGUGAAGUCCCUUGCGGAUGGAGCUGAAAUCAGUCGAAGAUACCAGCUGGCUGCAACUGUUUAUUAAAAACACAGCACUGUGCAAACACGAAAGUGGACGUAUACGGUGUGACGCCUGCCCGGUGCCGGAAGGUUAAUUGAUGGGGUCAGCGCAAGCGAAGCUCUUGAUCGAAGCCCCGGUAAACGGCGGCCGUAACUAUAACGGUCCUAAGGUAGCGAAAUUCCUUGUCGGGUAAGUUCCGACCUGCACGAAUGGCGUAAUGAUGGCCAGGCUGUCUCCACCCGAGACUCAGUGAAAUUGAACUCGCUGUGAAGAUGCAGUGUACCCGCGGCAAGACGGAAAGACCCCGUGAACCUUUACUAUAGCUUGACACUGAACAUUGAGCCUUGAUGUGUAGGAUAGGUGGGAGGCUUUGAAGUGUGGACGCCAGUCUGCAUGGAGCCGACCUUGAAAUACCACCCUUUAAUGUUUGAUGUUCUAACGUUGACCCGUAAUCCGGGUUGCGGACAGUGUCUGGUGGGUAGUUUGACUGGGGCGGUCUCCUCCUAAAGAGUAACGGAGGAGCACGAAGGUUGGCUAAUCCUGGUCGGACAUCAGGAGGUUAGUGCAAUGGCAUAAGCCAGCUUGACUGCGAGCGUGACGGCGCGAGCAGGUGCGAAAGCAGGUCAUAGUGAUCCGGUGGUUCUGAAUGGAAGGGCCAUCGCUCAACGGAUAAAAGGUACUCCGGGGAUAACAGGCUGAUACCGCCCAAGAGUUCAUAUCGACGGCGGUGUUUGGCACCUCGAUGUCGGCUCAUCACAUCCUGGGGCUGAAGUAGGUCCCAAGGGUAUGGCUGUUCGCCAUUUAAAGUGGUACGCGAGCUGGGUUUAGAACGUCGUGAGACAGUUCGGUCCCUAUCUGCCGUGGGCGCUGGAGAACUGAGGGGGGCUGCUCCUAGUACGAGAGGACCGGAGUGGACGCAUCACUGGUGUUCGGGUUGUCAUGCCAAUGGCACUGCCCGGUAGCUAAAUGCGGAAGAGAUAAGUGCUGAAAGCAUCUAAGCACGAAACUUGCCCCGAGAUGAGUUCUCCCUGACUCCUUGAGAGUCCUGAAGGAACGUUGAAGACGACGACGUUGAUAGGCCGGGUGUGUAAGCGCAGCGAUGCGUUGAGCUAACCGGUACUAAUGAACCGUGAGGCUUAACCUUACAACGCCGAAG